UACAGAGGGUGCAAGCGUUAAUCGGAAUUACUGGGCGUAAAGCGUGCGUAGACGGUUAUGUAAGUCAGAUGUGAAAGCCCCGGGCUCAACCUGGGAAUUGCAUUUGAGACUGCAUAGCUAGGGUGCGGAAGAGGGAAGCGGAAUUUCCGGUGUAGCGGUGAAAUGCGUAGAUAUCGGAAAGAACACCAGUGGCGAAAGCGGCUUCCUGGUCCAGCACCGACGUUCAGGCACGAAAGCGUGGGGAGCAAACAGG
RNAcentral lists this ribosomal RNA (253 nucleotides) under uncultured bacterium. RNAcentral's name for it is "partial 16S ribosomal RNA". It matches the Rfam family "Bacterial small subunit ribosomal RNA", at positions 524 to 776 of the family's 1533-position model. The record is from RNAcentral.